AGUGUAUGAGCACCGAUGAAAAGCCCUCCUUCUCAAUCACCAGCAGUUCCUUCACAGAUGCACCAUCUAGAGGCAGCCAGGAGCACGACUCAGUAAAGUUUGGUUCAGCACCUACUCCAGACAGAGCCCCAGGAGGAGUGUAUGAGCACCGAUGAAAAGCCCUCCUUCUCAAUCACCAGCAGUUCCUUCACAGAUGCACCAUCUAGAGGCAGCCAGGAGCACGACUCAGUAAAGUUUGGUUCAGCACCUACUCCAGACAUAAAGGCUGCUCCUGCACUGAUGGACUCACUGCUGCCCAACACACUGUCCUCCAUCACCAACCUGUCCAGCUGCAUGAAGGAUGGAAA
Oreochromis aureus is the source of this 347-nucleotide long non-coding RNA. The record is from Ensembl. Lineage: Eukaryota; Metazoa; Chordata; Actinopteri; Cichliformes; Cichlidae.